CACUCUAUGUCUGUCUCCCUGUAGCAGUCUAUGUGCUGCACUCUAUGUCUGUCUCCCUGUAGCAGUCUAUGUGCUGCACUCUAUCUCUGUCUCCCUGUAGCAGUCUAUGUGCUGCACUCUAUCCCUGUCUCUCUGUAGCAGUCUAUGUGCUGCACUCUAUCUCUGUCUCCCUGUAGCAGUCUAUGUGCUGCACUCUAUCCCUGUCUCUCUGUAGCAGUCUAUGUGCUGCACUCUCUGUAGCAGUCCCUGUCUCUCUGUAGCAGUCCCUGUACAGAGCAUGUGCUGCUGGUGGAUGC
Pelobates cultripes (western spadefoot toad) is the source of this 296-nucleotide non-coding RNA. The record is from the annotation of a GenBank genome assembly. Lineage: Eukaryota; Metazoa; Chordata; Amphibia; Anura; Pelobatidae.